RNAcentral lists this ribosomal RNA (1122 nucleotides) under Elaphomyces sp. HB1. Its description in RNAcentral is "SSU rRNA". It matches the Rfam family "Eukaryotic small subunit ribosomal RNA", at positions 39 to 1170 of the family's 1831-position model. The record is from RNAcentral. Lineage: Eukaryota; Fungi; Ascomycota; Eurotiomycetes; Eurotiales; Elaphomycetaceae.
AAAGAUUAAGCCAUGCAUGUCUAAGUAUAAGCAAAUCUAUACGGUGAAACUGCGAAUGGCUCAUUAAAUCAGUUAUCGUUUAUUUGAUAGUACCUUGCUACAUGGAUACCUGUGGUAAUUCUAGAGCUAAUACAUGCGGAAAACCCCGACUUCGGAAGGGGUGUAUUUAUUAGAUAAAAAACCAAUGCCCUUCGGGGCUCCUUGGUGAUUCAUAAUAACUGCACGAAUCGCAUGGCCUUGCGCCGGCGAUGGUUCAUUCAAAUUUCUGCCCUAUCAACUUUCGAUGGUAGGAUAGUGGCCUACCAUGGUGGCAACGGGUAACGGGGAAUUAGGGUUCGAUUCCGGAGAGGGAGCCUGAGAAACGGCUACCACAUCCAAGGAAGGCAGCAGGCGCGCAAAUUACCCAAUCCCGAUUCGGGGAGGUAGUGACAAUAAAUACUGAUACAGGGCUCUUUUGGGUCUUGUAAUUGGAAUGAGUACAAUCUAAAUCCCUUAACGAGGAACAAUUGGAGGGCAAGUCUGGUGCCAGCAGCCGCGGUAAUUCCAGCUCCAAUAGCGUAUAUUAAAGUUGUUGCAGUUAAAAAGCUCGUAGUUGAACCUUGGGCCUGGCUGGCCGGUCCGCCUCACCGCGAGUACUGGUCCGGCCGGGCCUUUCCUUCUGGGGAACCCCAUGGCCUUCACUGGCCGUGGCGGGGAACCAGGACUUUUACUGUGAAAAAAUUAGAGUGUUCAAAGCAGGCCUUUGCUCGGAUACAUUAGCAUGGAAUAAUAGAAUAGGACGUGUGGUUCUAUUUUGUUGGUUUCUAGGACCGCCGUAAUGAUUAAUAGGGAUAGUCGGGGGCGUCAGUAUUCAGCUGUCAGAGGUGAAAUUCUUGGAUUUGCUGAAGACUAACUACUGCGAAAGCAUUCGCCAAGGAUGUUUUCAUUAAUCAGGGAACGAAAGUUAGGGGAUCGAAGACGAUCAGAUACCGUCGUAGUCUUAACCAUAAACUAUGCCGACUAGGGAUCGGACGGUGUUUCUAUGAUGACCCGUUCGGCACCUUACGAGAAAUCAAAGUUUUUGGGUUCUGGGGGGAGUAUGGUCCCAAGGCUGAAACUUAAGAUUUUUUCCGAAGAAGAAAG